UAGGUCAUAUGGAUAGAACAUGUUUUUCCUC
This 31-nucleotide non-coding RNA is filed under the name Rattus norvegicus (Norway rat). Lineage: Eukaryota; Metazoa; Chordata; Mammalia; Rodentia; Muridae. The record is from RNAcentral.